Molecule: ribosomal RNA, 397 nt
Filed under: uncultured bacterium
Lineage: Bacteria
Description: partial 16S ribosomal RNA
Rfam family: Bacterial small subunit ribosomal RNA
Source: RNAcentral
AUACGAAGGGUGCAAGCGUUACUCGGAAUUACUGGGCGUAAAGCGUGCGUAGGUGGUUGUUUAAGUCUGUCGUGAAAGCCCUGGGCUCAACCUGGGAAUGGCGAUGGAAACUGGGCGACUAGAGUGUGGCAGAGGGUAGUGGAAUUCCUGGUGUAGCAGUGAAAUGCGUAGAGAUCAGGAGGAACAUCCGUGGCGAAGGCGACUGCCUGGGCCAACACUGACACUGAGGCACGAAAGCGUGGGGAGCAAACAGGAUUAGAUACCCCGGUAGUCCACGCCCUAAACGAUGCGAACUGGAUGUUGGGUGCAAUUUGGCACGCAGUAUCGAAGCUAACGCGUUAAGUUCGCCGCCUGGGGAGUACGGUCGCAAGACUGAAACUCAAAGGAAUUGACGGGG